RNAcentral lists this ribosomal RNA (519 nucleotides) under uncultured eukaryote. RNAcentral describes it as "SSU rRNA". It matches the Rfam family "Eukaryotic small subunit ribosomal RNA", at positions 1161 to 1700 of the family's 1831-position model. The record is from RNAcentral.
AGGGCACCACCAGGAGUGGAGCCUGCGGCUUAAUUUGACUCAACACGGGAAAACUCACCCGGCCCGGACACCGCGAGGAUUGACAGAUUGAUAGCUCUUUCAUGAUUCGGUGGAUGGUGGUGCAUGGCCGUUCUUAGUUCGUGGAGCGAUUUGUCUGGUUUAUUCCGAUAACGAGCGAGACUCUAGCCUACUAACUAGUCCGCAUGUUCGCUUGCUGCAUGCUUGGGACUUCUUAGAGGGAUUUUCGGCGUUUCAGCCGCACGAAACUGAGCAAUAACAGGUCUGUGAUGCCCUUAGAUGUCCGGGGCUGCACGCGCGCUACACUGGCGAAAUCAGCGUGCCUGUCCUCUCGCGAAAGCGACUGGUAAACCGGUGAAAAUUCGCCGUGAUUGGGAUCGGAAAUUGCAAUUAUUUUCCGUGAACGAGGAAUUCCAAGUAAGUGCGAGUCAUCAACUCGCGUUGAUUACGUCCCUGCCCUUUGUACACACCGCCCGUCGCUGCCCGAGACUGAGCCAUUUC